UCCUCUCCCACUGAGGACCUGACCAAACUGGCUAGCACUGGCUAGAUCGUUGGCUGACUGGUCCCUAAAGAAAAUCUAACUGACUCAAAAGCAGGGACACAGUGUCUUCGGCAUCUUGGUGCCCUUGAUGAGGGCGCGGCGGCACCUGGCAAUCAGCUCCAGCCGAUGGAGACAUCACUUCCUCUGAGCAGAAGUGGGUCUAGCAUUUUCCGAAGCACCCUUUCCUAUCGAUCCUUCUCAUCUGAGGAGAGCAUUCACAUCUGAGUCGACGCCUUCAGCAGUGUGGUCCCUCGAGGCUCAAGUUGCAGAGAGUUCUUAUACCCUUGCUUCUGUUCAGAGUUCCUGGGAACACACUUCAAGGAACACCAGUUAAGAACACAGCCCUGUGCACACACGGGAUCUACUGUCAUCUUAGAAUGCAAAGCCGGG
Molecule: non-coding RNA, 429 nt
Organism: Peromyscus maniculatus bairdii (prairie deer mouse)
Lineage: Eukaryota; Metazoa; Chordata; Mammalia; Rodentia; Cricetidae
Source: RefSeq, a predicted model, not a curated record